AACUGAUCAUCACGUUGGUUCCGUUUUGAUUCAAUAUUUCGGGUCGAUUUGAUCCAAAAAAAUAUCCAAAUAUUGGAGUUAAAGCAGAGCAAACAAAAUUACCCUUUUUUUUUUUUUUUGGACAAAACAAAAAAAAUUACCUUCCUUUCAAAAUAACUACUCCCUCUGUUUCAAAAUAAAUAGAUUUCAAAUUUCUAAUAAUCUUAUAUUCAUAAUUGGUUCUUUCCCAUUAACCCUAGUGGCAUUUCCAUCUAACCACAUUUUCCGAACCUUCCAUUAAUAGCAUUCUCAUAUUUUAUCAAGUGGAACUAGUCUUUAAAUGAUCCACUGCCAAUUUCUAUUAUUUAUAUGUUUACUUUUACAUUAUUCAAAGUCUUCUCCUUCUUGUU
This is a long non-coding RNA of Arabidopsis thaliana (thale cress), 389 nucleotides long. RefSeq annotates it as other RNA. Lineage: Eukaryota; Viridiplantae; Streptophyta; Magnoliopsida; Brassicales; Brassicaceae. The transcript has a single exon. The record is from RefSeq.